CAGCAGCCGCGGUAAUACCGGCGGCCCGAGUGGCGGCCACUAUUAUUGGGCUUAAAGCGUCCGUAGCCGGGUUGGUUAGUCUCCCGGGAAAUCUGGCCGCUUAACGGUCAGAAUUCCGGGAGAUACUGCCAGCCUAGGGACCGGGAGAGGCCGAGGGUAUUCCCGGAGUAGGGGUGAAAUCCUAUAAUCCCGGGAGGACCACCUGUGGCGAAGGCGCUCGGCUGGAACGGGUCCGACGGUGAGGGACGAAGGCCAGGGGAGCAAACCGGAUUAGAUACCCGGGUAGUCCUGGCUGUAAAGGAUGCGGGCUAGGUGUCGGGUGAGCUUCGGGCUCGCCCGGUGCCGUAGGGAAGCCGUUAAGCCCGCCGCCUGGGGAGUACGGCCGCAAGGCUGAAACUUAAAGGAAUUGGCGGG
RNAcentral lists this ribosomal RNA (414 nucleotides) under uncultured microorganism. Its description in RNAcentral is "bacterial SSU rRNA". It matches the Rfam family "Archaeal small subunit ribosomal RNA", at positions 459 to 872 of the family's 1478-position model. The record is from RNAcentral.